AUUGAACGCUGGCGGCGUGCUUAACACAUGCAAGUCGAUCGGUAACAGGUGUAGCAAUACAUGCUGACGAGAGGCGGACGGGUGAGUAAUGCUUGGGAAUCUGCCUAUUAGUGGGGGACAACCCGGGGAAACUCGGGCUAAUACCGCAUACGCUCUACGGAGGAAAGCCGGGGACCGCAAGGCCUGGCGCUAAUAGAUGAGCCCAAGUCGGAUUAGCUAGUUGGUAGGGUAACGGCCUACCAAGGCGACAAUCCGUAGCUGGUCUGAGAGGACGACCAGCCACACCGGAACUGAGACACGGUCCGGACUCCUACGGGAGGCAGCAGUGGGGAAUAUUGGACAAUGGGGGCAACCCUGAUCCAGCGACGCCGCGUGGGUGAAGAAGGCCUGCGGGUUGUAAAGCCCUUUCGGUGGGGAAGAAAGUCUCGACCUAAUACGUCGGGACCUUGACGUAACCCACUAAAGAAGCACCGGCUAACUCUGUGGCAG
This 489-nucleotide ribosomal RNA is filed under the name uncultured bacterium. RNAcentral's name for it is "bacterial SSU rRNA". It matches the Rfam family "Bacterial small subunit ribosomal RNA", at positions 29 to 511 of the family's 1533-position model. The record is from RNAcentral.